GGGAUUAUAGGUCAUGAGCCUUUUUAAAAAAUUUUAUUCAAUUAUUAUUAUUAUUUAUUUAUUUAUUUAUUUUUUGAGACGGAGUCUCGCUCUGUUUUUUUUUUUUGGAGACAGAGUCUCACUCUGUUGCCUAGGCUGCAGUGCAGUGGCACGAUCUUGGCUCACUGCAACCUCCACCUCCAGGUUCAAGCCAUUCUCCUGCAUCAGCCUCCCGAGUAGCUGGGAUUACAGGUUCAACGCCCUGUAGAUCGCCUGUUCUCCUCUAUUGUCACUGUUGCUGAACAAAAGUAUCAGUCUACCUUGUGAUCUUGAGCCAGAUGAUUGUGCAUCCAUUUACAUCUUUAAUAUAGAUCCACCUCCAUCUACUUUAAACACACCACUUUGCUUACCACAUCAUGGAUUACCGUCUCACUCUUCUGUUCUGUCACCAUCGUUUCAGCUCCAAAGUCACAAAAACUAUGAAGGAACUUGUGAGAUUCCUGAAUCUAAAUAUAGCCCAUUAGGUGGUCCCAAACCCUUUGAGUGCCCAAGUAUUCAAAUUACAUCUAUCUCUCCUAACUGUCAUCAAGAAAUAGAUGCACAUGAAGAUG
Molecule: small RNA, 590 nt
Filed under: Pongo abelii (Sumatran orangutan)
Lineage: Eukaryota; Metazoa; Chordata; Mammalia; Primates; Hominidae
Description: processed transcript
Source: RNAcentral